UCGCCUGUUUUAUCAAAAACAUCGCCUCUUGAUUAAAUAUAAGAGGUCCCGCCUGCCCCGUGAUUUAUUUAACGGCCGCGGUAUUUUGACCGUGCAAAGGUAGCAUAAUCAAUUGUCCUUUAAUUAAGGACCAGUAUGAAAGGCACCACGAAGGCUUAACUGUCUCCCCCCUCUAAUCAAUGAAACUGAUCUUCCCGUGAAGAAGCGGGAAUAAUUAUAUAAGACGAGAAGACCCCAUGGAGCUUCAAACUAAUUAUCAUCUACUUUAAAAAUAUCUAACAAAAUAGUAGAAAUGCUCUUAAUAGUUUUCGGUUGGGGCGACCCCGGAGUAAAAUGAAACCUCCAGGAUGAACGGACAAGAUCCUAAUUAGAGAAUUACUAUUCAACAACUCAAAAAUUUGACAUUAUUGACCCAGUUAUAAAUUAACUGAUCAACGAACCAAGUUACCCUGGGGAUAACAGCGCAAUCCAUUUCAAGAGCCCCUAUCGACAAAUGGGUUUACGACCUCGAUGUUGGAUCGGGGUAUCCUAGCAACGCAGCCGCUGCUUAAGGUUCGUUUGUUCAACGAUUAAAACCCCACAUGAUCUGAGUUCAAACCGGA
This 602-nucleotide ribosomal RNA is filed under the name Hyperolius benguellensis (Bocage's sharp-nosed reed frog). RNAcentral's name for it is "partial 16S ribosomal RNA". It matches the Rfam family "Bacterial large subunit ribosomal RNA", at positions 1796 to 2620 of the family's 2925-position model. The record is from RNAcentral. Lineage: Eukaryota; Metazoa; Chordata; Amphibia; Anura; Hyperoliidae.